This is a long non-coding RNA of Mobula hypostoma (lesser devil ray), 1148 nucleotides long. RefSeq lists it as uncharacterized. Lineage: Eukaryota; Metazoa; Chordata; Chondrichthyes; Myliobatiformes; Myliobatidae. The record is from RefSeq and is a predicted model, not a curated record. The transcript has 3 exons.
CCUCUGCUACUGGAGGAGGAGCCUGUGUGGUGGCUCGGAGGGUAGGCCUCCGCACUCGAGUGGUGUCUCUCUCUUUCGAUGAUGUCGGAGGACUUUACCAAGAUUCUGCCUUUAUCGAUUGGACUAUUGCGUUUAUGGACGGUGGACUUUUUCAGUCUCAUGGUUUUUUAUACCCUGAGACCUCAUCACCUCUCAUGCCUUUGUCAUUGGUGCCAAUAGGUACAAUUCUGGCUGCUCCCCUUCUCCCUUUCGAACACUGUGAACCCUGUCUGAGACGCCCCUGAUCGUGGCACCUGGGAGGUCCAAGGAGAGGAGAAACACACACAAAAUGCUGGAGGAACUCAGCAGGUCACUCAGCGUCUAUGGAGUGGAAAAACGAAUGGUCUCGGCACCUCUCUCUUCUUCAAUUGCCCAUUCUGGCCUCUUCCUCAUCGUGGCUAUCCGGAGAAGAAGAAUUUCAGAGUUGUAUACUUUGAUAAUAAAUGAACCUUUGUAUCUUUUAAAUCCUUUUUUGAAAAUAGCUAUAGAAAGUUUUUGAUUUGCUUUUUAGCCAGUACAGCAAAACAUUGUGGGCCGAGUGGCCUGUUGCUGUGCUGUAUUCUUCUCUGUUCUAUGUACUGCUACCGCAAAGACAUGACGUGCUGGUGAUAUUAAGCCUGAUUCUGAUUCUGAAUCUGUUCGAUGUUCUACGAAUUACAACAGUCCCUAAAAAUGUCCGAGCAAAGUAUAGCUUUGAGGAACAAUCUGAACACCGAAUUCAGGAUUUGAUUGAAUGGAAAAUGUGCUUGUGCUCUAUAUUUUUGUGAAGUGGGAAAUUAAUAGCAAGAAUUGUGACGGGGCAAAGAGGCAAGACCAGGACAAGAGUUAAAAAACGUUUUUGAAAAAAACGUUCAAACUGUCUGAUAGAUUUUGAUCAUCACAGUUUUUAUUUUCCAACCCAAUAGUUGGUACAAGGUAUUAGUAGAGACUGCUGAGAUCAAUAUUUCAUGGUCCUUCUAUGUCUCAUCAAACAGAAAUUCUCACAAAUCACCCUGCUUUUCAUUGACCGAGACUGGUUUGGAAUAAACUAAUUUAAAAAUGUGUAAGUUUUCAUGGUUUUUGACAAAUUGCUAUCGAAUCUUGGAGUUUUGAACAAAUAAAAUCCUUAA